AUCACUGCGCUAGGGGCAAUGAUGCAGUCAGUGAGGUUUUAACUGAGGUGUGUCAAUAUCUGGUUGAAAAUUACUUUUAAACCCCCUCUCUGACCUGGCUUUAGCCCUGGCCAUUGAGAAAAUCUGGAAGUGCUCCCUUCUUGGGUAAAGCC
This is a small nuclear RNA of Cornus florida, 152 nucleotides long. RefSeq annotates it as U4 spliceosomal RNA. The transcript has a single exon. NCBI's taxonomy places the organism in Eukaryota, Viridiplantae, Streptophyta, Magnoliopsida, Cornales, Cornaceae. The record is from RefSeq and is a predicted model, not a curated record.